CCCAGACUCCUACGGGAGGCAGCAGUGGGGGAUAUUGCACAAUGGGGGGAACCCUGAUGCAGCGACGCCGCGUGGGUGAAGGAGCGCCUCGGUGCGUAAAGCCCUAUCGGCAGGGAAGAAACAGACGGUACCUGACUAAGAAGCCCCGGCUAACUACGUGCCAGCAGCCGCGGUAAUACGUAGGGGGCAAGCGUUAUCCGGAUUCACUGGGUGUAAAGGGAGCGUAGACGGCGACGCAAGUCUGGAGUGAAAGCCCGGGGCCCAACCCCGGGACUGCUCUGGAAACUGCGGCGCUGGAGUACGGGAGGGGCAGGCGGAAUUCCUGGUGUAGCGGUGAAAUGCGUAGAUAUCAGGAGGAACACCGGCGGCGAAGGCGGCCUGCUGGACCGUGACUGACGUUGAGGCUCGAGAGCGUGGGGAGCAAACAGGAUUAGAUACCCGAGUAA
RNAcentral lists this ribosomal RNA (446 nucleotides) under uncultured bacterium. RNAcentral describes it as "partial 16S ribosomal RNA". It matches the Rfam family "Bacterial small subunit ribosomal RNA", at positions 330 to 793 of the family's 1533-position model. The record is from RNAcentral.